UACAGGGGGUGCAAACGUUGCUCGGAUUUAUUGGGCGUAAAGGGCGCGUAGGCGGCCACGCACGUCCGUUGUGAAAUCGCCCGGCUCAACUGGGCGGGGUCAGCGGAUACGGUGUGGCUCGAGCAAGCUAGGGGGCAAUGGAAUUCCCGGUGUAGUGGUGGAAUGCGUAGAUAUCGGGAGGAACACCAGUGGCGAAGGCGGUUGCCUGGAGCUUUGCUGACGCUGAGGCGCGAAAGCGUGGGGAGCGAUCCGG
Molecule: ribosomal RNA, 253 nt
Filed under: uncultured bacterium
Lineage: Bacteria
Description: partial 16S ribosomal RNA
Rfam family: Bacterial small subunit ribosomal RNA
Source: RNAcentral